Molecule: long non-coding RNA, 1311 nt
Filed under: Marmota monax (woodchuck)
Lineage: Eukaryota; Metazoa; Chordata; Mammalia; Rodentia; Sciuridae
Source: RNAcentral
CACACGUGAGAGCACGUGUCGACCACGGAAGGGUUCUUCACCUGAGAGGCUGAAUGUGCCCCAGUCCCCAAGCACACGGAUCCCUGGCCACAAAACGCACCUCAAUAGCAGGAGGGUCAGAACCACUCGGCGUACGUCCUCCAACAGUGAAGUCAGAACCAUCGCAUUAAGAUCCCUGUGAACUUCCUGUGACUUCCUACAACACACGCCUACAACAGGACGUGCCGAGGAGACCGCUGAACUAAUCACGACCGAAACGUGGCCUUCAAGACCUGUGGGCUGUGGUCAAGGCGCCUUAGAGUCUAAAUCUACGACUUCACACCCUUGUGUUGGAAAAAAAACAAAGACUUAAAUGAUCUGAGCUUCCGCCUUGAAAAUCUAGAAAAAGAAGAGGAAAUUGAUCUUCUCUUUUCCGAAGGUUUAAAUAAAGAGCAGAAAUGAACCAAAAAGAAAACGAACAGAGAGAACCAGGACCCCCUGGAAGUUGGUUCUUUGAAAAGAUUAAUAAAAUCGAUGAGCUCCUAGAUUCUCAGAGAGAGAGAGAGAGGACCAGAAUGAGGAAUGAAGACAGGACAGCACCGCGGAGCUGCAGACGUCGGAGGGACUCCUCUGACAAGUUCACACCAAAACAUCGACACCAAAGCAACUGAGCCAACUCCUCAAAAGAUGCAAGAAGAGAGAGAGACUCCAAAAAGAAGAGUAUCUGACAAAAGCUGAAUUCAGACUCAGAGCACCACACAGACAACAGCAGAGGUGCCUUGGUUCCAGGAAGGACAGGUCAGUGGUUGCAUGGACGGGCCAGCACCGAGAGGAGGCACGGGUCUGUCUGCAGUCCUCAGAGGCUGCAGAGGCUGGCCCGGCGUCCCCGCCCUCCCGGGUUGAGAGGAGACGGUGUCACAGGACGUAGCAGAUGCUCCUGGGUGCCCCUACCAGGGAGUCCUUGGGCCCCCUGGAAUCUGGCUCCCUCUGUCCCUUCCUCAUCACCAGGAGCCUCUGGCGCUGCAGCUGCGCCUGUCACCGUCCUCUCUGCUGGACCAGGCGUCGUGUGGGCUGACGCACGGCUCCAGCUCCGCAGGGCAAGGGACCCCCUUUUUACUAGUAAGAAACACCAACAUGAAGGCCUGCGUGCACGCCCACGGGGCCCACAUCGUUACCCGCCAAGCAAGAGCUGAGGGCAUCAGGCUGCGCCUGACCUGGGACAGUGGGGACCAGGAGGGAGUGACCACGUUGUCGUCUUCAGGAACUUCGUGUGGCAGAGGAAGCACCCGUCAACGACCCUCUGUCACUUCACAGUGGACACCGGGAUCCACG